GACGAACGCUGGCGGCGUGCUUAACACAUGCAAGUCGAGCGGGAUCCAACCGGUGGCAACACCGGGGAAGAUCUAGCGGCGAACGGGUGAGUAACACGUGAGCAACCUGCCCCGAAGACUGGGAUAACACCGGGAAACCGGUGCUAAUACCGGAUGUCGUCAUUAGGCCGCAUGACCUGAUGAUGAAAGGAUUCAUCGCUUCGGGAGGGGCUCGCGGGCUAUCAGCUUGNGGUGGGGUAACGGCCUACCAAGGCGACGACGGCUAGCUGGUCUGAGAGGACGACCAGCCACACUGGGACUGAGACACGGCCCAGACUCCUACGGGAGGCAGCAGUGGGGAAUCUUGCGCAAUGGGCGAAAGCCUGACGCAGCAACCGCCGCGUGGGGGAUGAAUGCCCUCGGGUUGUAAACCCCUUUCAGCAGGGACGAAAUUGACGGUACCUGCAGAA
RNAcentral lists this ribosomal RNA (449 nucleotides) under uncultured bacterium. Its description in RNAcentral is "bacterial SSU rRNA". It matches the Rfam family "Bacterial small subunit ribosomal RNA", at positions 28 to 486 of the family's 1533-position model. The record is from RNAcentral.